GGCAAUCUGCCCUGCACUCUGGGACAAGCCCUGGAAACGGGGUCUAAUACCGGAUACGACCAUCUCGGGCAUCCGAUGGUGGUGGAAAGCUCCGGCGGUGCAGGAUGAGCCCGCGGCCUAUCAGCUUGUUGGUGGGGUGAUGGCCUACCAAGGCGACGACGGGUAGCCGGCCUGAGAGGGCGACCGGCCACACUGGGACUGAGACACGGCCCAGACUCCUACGGGAGGCAGCAGUGGGGAAUAUUGCACAAUGGGCGGAAGCCUGAUGCAGCGACGCCGCGUGAGGGAUGACGGCCUUCGGGUUGUAAACCUCUUUCAGCAGGGAAGAAGCGCAAGUGACGGUACCUGCAGAAGAAGCACCGGCUAACUACGUGCCAGCAGCCGCGGUAAUACGUAGGGUGCGAGCGUUGUCCGGAAUUAUUGGGCGUAAAGAGCUCGUAGGCGGCUUGUCGCGUCGGAUGUGAAAGCCCGGGGCUUAACCCCGGGUCUGCAUUCGAUACGGGCAGGCUAGAGUUCGGUAGGGGAGAUCGGAAUUCCUGGUGUAGCGGUGAAAUGCGCAGAUAUCAGGAGGAACACCGGUGGCGAAGGCGGAUCUCUGGGCCGAUACUGACGCUGAGGAGCGAAAGCGUGGGGAGCGAACAGGAUUAGAUACCCUGGUAGUCCACGCCGUAAACGUUGGGAACUAGGUGUGGGCGACAUUCCACGUCGUCCGUGCCGCAGCUAACGCAUUAAGUUCCCCGCCUGGGGAGUACGGCCGCAAGGCUAAAACUCAAAGGAAUUGA
Molecule: ribosomal RNA, 782 nt
Filed under: Streptomyces xinghaiensis
Lineage: Bacteria; Bacillati; Actinomycetota; Actinomycetes; Kitasatosporales; Streptomycetaceae
Description: bacterial SSU rRNA
Rfam family: Bacterial small subunit ribosomal RNA
Source: RNAcentral